This is an RNA transcript of Canis lupus familiaris (dog), 3775 nucleotides long. RefSeq lists it as uncharacterized. The transcript is spliced from 3 exons. NCBI's taxonomy places the organism in Eukaryota, Metazoa, Chordata, Mammalia, Carnivora, Canidae. The record is from RefSeq and is a predicted model, not a curated record.
ACUGCUUUUCACCACAUGAACCUCCUGAGGAGACCUCCGCACCGCCGCCCCCUCUGGGAGCGCUCGCGGGAGACCAUCUUGCCGCGGUCUGUCCCGCGGCCCGUGCGGACCGCUACCGGGGGCCAGUCCGGGUUUCCGAGGGAAAUGGGAAGACGACGUGUGGGAAGCGGCGAGGGAAGCCCCGGGACGGUCGCCCUCACGUUAGGAACCUCCGCAGGCCCACGGAAUUGGAUCACUAACGGACCGGGAUCGUUGGCUGGAACCUUCACGUCGCCUCGGACCGCACCUGUCGGAGCUCCAGGGGAUGCUCCCGGCCCCGGGCCCCCGCCUCACCCCAGCUGUGGCCUGGUUACUGCGCUGGGAAACGCAGAGCCGGCCCCCCUCCCGACUCAGGAAUGUUCAGACUCGUGCACCUGCUCCCUCGCCUUGUCAAGUAGCAGGAUGGUAGUGCUCCGCUCGCCUGCACAUAUGGAAGCCAGACGUGCCUACCCCGCAGGGCCGCGGCAGAGCAAAGACCGACUUUGGACGCGUUUCUCCAAGCUGCAGGCCUCACAGAGCUGCCGCAGGCGAGGAAGCUCCGCCAGGGCACAGCGGAGGGGGAGAGGGCCUAACACAAGACGCUAGAAUGUACAGGGCACCCGCUAAGCAGGUUACAUACAUUGUCACGGCACUUGCCCUAACUCUGCCUGGCAGAUACUUGCAUCAGCAUUUUAGUGAUGAAGAAACAGGCCCAGCUAAUCCAGUGGGUCUUGGCAAAGCCGGUUUCAGGUCAGGUCUACACGAUGCUGAUAUUUAUUUACUUCUACCGGGUACUUGCCUGUCCGUGUGCUGCUGCCUUCUAUCUAGGAUCUACCGAAAAGAGAUGUAGAAAAAGUCUUAUCAUGCACAUGUGGAGGAUUGUCCAGAGCUGCACGAUUAUACAGACCUUAUGGAGAAGGCCUCUCCUACUAACGUUACCACUCUUGACACAUGGUCACAGUGGUUUUUAUCCAAAUAGGGGUUGCUUCAGACUCUAUUCUAGCAGAAGGAACUGCCUUUUAGUAUCAACUGAGACGGUAUUGUUAAGAAGAACAUUCUCCAAGAAUAUUACUCCUUUUUAUACUUAGCAACAACAUUAUGAAUUUGAAGCUGAAAGUGAAAUUCUCCUUCAAAAUGAUAUGUAAGUACUUUUCGAACAGAGAGACGAUAAAAGAGAAUAUUUGGGAGCAGUAUCUUUCCAGAAAGUAUGUUUCACCUCUUUCUGUCACAACUCAUGGCCUAUGAAGUUAGCAUUCAAUGUUAAUUUGAAAGCCAACUCUAAGAAAAAAGGUCUUCUAGUUUUGGAGACAAAAAGGCUCAAAUAAUUCUUAAGAUCUUAAUUACCAAAUCUGAACAUAUCUAUCCAAAUAUUUAUAAAAUUCAAGUUGGAAAUUAUGAUAUUUAUUUAUUUUGCUACUAAAUUUUUAGUGGAAAAGAUAAUAAAAUUCUCAGAAAUAAUACAGGAAAGAUACCCUAAUUUCCCCAUAUUUAGGGUGAUUUGCCCAAAAUUAUAGAAUCAAAUUCUCUUACCUCUGACCAGCUUCUGCUAGUUCAUCUUUAUUUUUAUCUUGGCAUCUGCCAGACAUUGGAAAACUUAAAGUAGUCUUCGGAGUUAAGAAAAAAGAUUAUCUAAAGCAGAGUAUCACCAAUAGACUGUAAUCAGCGAAGGCAAAUUUUCUUCACGGACUCUUUGAGGAGCCUCACUUGGGUUACAAGAAACAGAGCAGUGUUUGUGUAACCCUGUGGCAAUGCCUGGGAAAGAAUCUCCUAACCCCACCCACCAGACACUCCACAUAAAUAAAAACAUCUUUACCAUAUGGCAAUUCCAUUCACACCCAUUUAAUACUCUCAGGAGAAUGUGUAAUCACAUCCAGUGAGCCACAACAUAAGAAUUUACUAGAAGGAAAUAUAUAAGAGCAUCUAGUAUGACGUUGAUAGCUCAACAAAAUCAAUAACCUCUAGAAGCAACCUUAAUCCUGAUAUAAAUAAUCAAAAUAAAUUCCUGUAAAAAACCCCAAACACACACAUCCUUGUAUAAGUUCUACUUUCUCAAAAUCUAAAAAAAUAACUGAGUAAACAUUGCAUGUACUUAAAUCUGAUCAAUUCAAGGGGGAAAAAGAAAAACACUACAUGCCAGCAUAGAACUUAGUCAAAUACCAGGUAAAAAGGUACACUUGCACAGCAGAAGAUCCUUAGAAUGAUAAACAGAUUCAAAACUUCAAAAUAUUUGACCACUCCUCCUUUUUUUUAUUAUUAUUCCAAACAAAGUCAAGAUAAAAAUAAACAAGGACUGAGAAGUCUCCUGGGCUUCAGAAGUAUGGAUGUCAUCUUAUCUCUCCGCUGUUGUCUCUGAUACUGACCCAACACAUGGGUAAGUAUUUGCUAAGAAAACCUCAGCUUUUAAUCUUUUCUAGGAGAGACGGAGUAGCAGAAUGAAACUGAUAAAGGUCUUCUUAGUUUGUUGGGAAUUGGCUUUCUUUGUAAAAGGACUCAGUCUAGGGGAUUCCUGGGUGGCUCAGUGGUUUAGCACCUGCCUUUGGCCCAGGGUGUGAUCCUGGAGUCCUGGAAUCGAGUCCUGCGUCGGGCUCCUGACAUGGAGCCUGCUUCUCCCUCUGCCUGUGUCUCUGCUUUUCCCUCUCUCUCUGUCUAUCAUGAAUAUAUAAAUUAAAAAAAAAAAUUUAAAGGACUCGAUCUCACCUGCCUUUCUUCAUUCACUGUGGACAACUGCAUUAGUCUCCUCCUGCCAACAGCUAACCUUGGCUGGAGUGGGAUGAAGGCAUCUGGACCCCUGAUUAAGCCUGAGAGUCUACUUGCAACUUAAUGGAACCACCUCACCAUGUGGACUGACCACUCUUUCUCUCUGCUAUCUGGCCACAACCUGGGUCUUCCCUUUAGCUCCCUCCAGGUUGAAUUGUGGACGGGGAGCAUAUGACAUUAGUCUGUGCAAUGUAUAAUUACAGUGUGUUCUCAGUGCAGUUACUUAAGAAAACUAUCAAAUAGAAGCUACUAAUUCCCAUUCAGUGAUGAUAGAAAGCCAUUGAUGACCAUACAACCCAUUUAUUUCCCUAUGUUUUUUCCUUUAACACAAAUAUAUUGCUCUUCCCCUUUAAAUAAGCCAGUAUGAAUUCUUAAGUAAUAUAUGCACAAAUUCAUGAGGAGAGGCCUAAUAUUAGUUAGAAACAACUCACUACAGCACGCCAGCUGGCAAAACUACUUCCAGUUUGUAAAAGAGAAAAAAAAUGGCUUAACAUUUGAAUCACUAUAUCAUUUCACACACAAAGACUUCAUGUUCAUACCAGAAAGACAAGCCUUACCACAUUUGCAUGUAUCCUUUUAUAGUUGUUGUGAUUUUGCCAAGUGCUUUAUGAUCACUUUUUAUUAGCUGGGGCUCUCAAUAGUCCUGUGAGGUAUAGAUUAGUAGGUAAAACAGGUACUGUACAUGAUGAAGCAGGAAGUGAACUCCCUAAAGACGUUUUAUUCCAAGAACGCCUGGGUGGAAGAAUGCACUUUCCCCUGUUUGCCAGAGGCACCAGGAAAUAAAGUUGGCCUGCAAAAUACUACUGAGCCAUUUUUAAAAGCCAUUUUCUUCACAAAGCACAUAUAUAUCUCUUUUCUCUCUCUCUUGCUCUCUCUCGCUCUUGCUCUCUCUCUUGCUCACUCACUUGCUUAACGAAAGUGAGCAAGGCUGAAUGGGGGUUUAUAUUUCAAUUCAAAAGUGUUACCAUAUGGCAUCCCCCUCAUUGAUACCUUUACCCAA